Molecule: ribosomal RNA, 253 nt
Filed under: uncultured bacterium
Lineage: Bacteria
Description: partial 16S ribosomal RNA
Rfam family: Bacterial small subunit ribosomal RNA
Source: RNAcentral
UACGAAGGGGGCGAGCGUUGCUCGGAAUUACUGGGCGUAAAGGGCGCGUAGGCGGCCCUGUUAGUCAGGCGUGAAAGUCCUGGGCUCAACCUGGGAACUGCGCUUGAUACGGCAGAGCUAGAGGAUGGAAGAGGGUCGCGGAAUUCCCAGUGUAGAGGUGAAAUUCGUAGAUAUUGGGAAGAACACCGGUGGCGAAGGCGGCGACCUGGUCCAUUACUGACGCUGAGGCGCGACAGCGUGGGGAGCAAACGGG